This 651-nucleotide ribosomal RNA is filed under the name Salmonella enterica subsp. enterica serovar Newport. RNAcentral describes it as "partial 23S ribosomal RNA". It matches the Rfam family "Bacterial large subunit ribosomal RNA", at positions 1 to 667 of the family's 2925-position model. The record is from RNAcentral. Lineage: Bacteria; Pseudomonadati; Pseudomonadota; Gammaproteobacteria; Enterobacterales; Enterobacteriaceae.
GGGUUGUGAGGUUAAGCGACUAAGCGUACACGGUGGAUGCCCUGGCAGUCAGAGGCGAUGAAGGACGUGCUAAUCUGCGAUAAGCGCCGGUAAGGUGAUAUGAACCGUUAUAACCGGCGAUUUCCGAAUGGGGAAACCCAGUGUGACUCGUCACACUAUCAUUAACUGAAUCCAUAGGUUAAUGAGGCGAACCGGGGGAACUGAAACAUCUAAGUACCCCGAGGAAAAGAAAUCAACCGAGAUUCCCCCAGUAGCGGCGAGCGAACGGGGAGGAGCCCAGAGCCUGAAUCAGCAUGUGUGUUAGUGGAAGCGUCUGGAAAGGCGCGCGAUACAGGGUGACAGCCCCGUACACAAAAGCGCAUGUGCUGUGAGCUCGAUGAGUAGGGCGGGACACGUGGUAUCCUGUCUGAAUAUGGGGGGACCAUCCUCCAAGGCUAAAUACUCCUGACUGACCGAUAGUGAACCAGUACCGUGAGGGAAAGGCGAAAAGAACCCCGGCGAGGGGAGUGAAAAAGAACCUGAAACCGUGUACGUACAAGCAGUGGGAGCCCCACCACUAAGCCAGUGGUGAACUCCACAUACGCAUCCUUUGCUGAGGAUACGGUUAACGGAGCGAAAGCGACGUUCAACCUCAAAAGAAGCAGAGGGGGC